This 441-nucleotide ribosomal RNA is filed under the name uncultured bacterium. RNAcentral describes it as "partial 16S ribosomal RNA". It matches the Rfam family "Bacterial small subunit ribosomal RNA", at positions 338 to 795 of the family's 1533-position model. The record is from RNAcentral.
CCUACGGGAGGCAGCAGUGGGGAAUAUUGCACAAUGGGGGAAACCCUGAUGCAGCAACGCCGCGUGAGUGAAGAAGGAUUUCGGUAUGUAAAGCUCUAUCAGCAGGGAAGAAGAAUGACGGUACCUGACUAAGAAGCCCCGGCUAACUACGUGCCAGCAGCCGCGGCAAUACGUAGGGGGCAAGCGUUAGCCGGAAUUACUGGGUGUAAAGGGAGCGUAGGCGGGGGUGGAAGUCUGAAGUGAAAGCCCGUGGCUCAACCGGGGAACUGCAUUGGAAACUGGAUAUCUGGAGUGCGGGAGAGGCAGGUGGAAUUCCUAGUGUAGCGGUGAAAUGCGUAGAUAUUAGGAGGAACACCAGUGGCGAAGGCGGCCUGCUGGACAGAAACUGACGCUGAGGCUCGAAAGCGUGGGGAGCAAACAGGAUUAGAUACCCGGGUAGUC